ACGGAAGGCAGCAGUGGGGAAUAUUGCACAAUGGGGGAAACCCUGAUGCAGCGAUGCCGCGUGGAGGAAGAAGGUUUUCGGAUUGUAAACUCCUUUUAUCAGGGACGAUAAUGACGGUACCUGAAGAAAAAGCUCCGGCUAACUACGUGCCAGCAGCCGCGGUAAUACGUAGGGAGCGAGCGUUGUCCGGAAUUACUGGGUGUAAAGGGAGCGCAGGCGGGACGGCAAGUCAGAUGUGAAAUGUAGGGGCUCAACCCCUGAACUGCAUUUGAAACUGUUGUUCUUGAGUGAAGUAGAGGUAAGCGGAAUUCCUAGUGUAGCGGUGAAAUGCGUAGAUAUUAGGAGGAACAUCGGUGGCGAAGGCGGCUUACUGGGCUUUUACUGACGCUGAGGCUCGAAAGCGUGGGGAGCAAACAGGAUUAGAUACCCUGGUA
Molecule: ribosomal RNA, 434 nt
Filed under: uncultured Ruminococcus sp.
Lineage: Bacteria; Bacillati; Bacillota; Clostridia; Eubacteriales; Oscillospiraceae
Description: partial 16S ribosomal RNA
Rfam family: Bacterial small subunit ribosomal RNA
Source: RNAcentral